This 301-nucleotide ribosomal RNA is filed under the name uncultured bacterium. RNAcentral's name for it is "partial 16S ribosomal RNA". It matches the Rfam family "Bacterial small subunit ribosomal RNA", at positions 509 to 807 of the family's 1533-position model. The record is from RNAcentral.
CAGUAGCCGCGGUAAGACAGAGGAUGCAAGCGUUAUCCGGAAUGAUUGGGCGUAAAGCGUCUGUAGGUGGCUUUUCAAGUCCGCCGUCAAAUCCCAGGGCUCAACCCUGGACAGGCGGUGGAAACUACCAAGCUGGAGUACGGUAGGGGCAGAGGGAAUUUCCAGUGGAGCGGUGAAAUGCGUUGAGAUCGAAAAGAACACCAACAGCGAAAGCACUCUGCUGGGACGACACUGACACUAAGAGACGAAAGCUAGGGGAGCAAAUGGGAUUAGAUACCCCUGUAGUCCCUGUCUCUUAUAC